RNAcentral lists this transfer RNA (68 nucleotides) under Brachionus rubens. RNAcentral describes it as "tRNA-Gly". It matches the Rfam family "tRNA". Rfam says of the family: Transfer RNA (tRNA) molecules are approximately 80 nucleotides in length. Their secondary structure includes four short double-helical elements and three loops (D, anti-codon, and T loops). The record is from RNAcentral. Lineage: Eukaryota; Metazoa; Rotifera; Eurotatoria; Ploima; Brachionidae.
AUAGCUAUAGUAUAAUUAAUACAUUUGAUUUCCAAUCAGUUGAUCUUCACUUGCCUGAAGUAGCUAUA